GUCUUGUAAUUGGAAUGAUGGUGACCUAAACCCUCACCAGAGUAACAAUUGGAGGGCAAGUCUGGUGCCAGCAGCCGCGGUAAUUCCAGCUCCAAUAGCGUAUAUUAAACUUGUUGCAGUUAAAAAGCUCGUAGUUGAAUUUCUGCGUUAUCGAGUUAUUGACUCUUGUCUUUAAUCGAUUUCGCUUUUGGGAUUUAUCCCUUUUUACUUUGAGAAAAUUAGAGUGUUUCAAGCAGACUUUUGUCUUGAAUACUUCAGCAUGGAAUAAUAGAGUAGGACUUUGGUUCUAUUUUGUUGGUUUUUGAACCUUAGUAAUGGUUAAUAGGAACGGUUGGGGGCAUUCGUAUUUAACUGUCAGAGGUGAAAUUCUUAGAUUUGUUAAAGACGAACUACUGCGAAAGCAUUUGCCAAGGACGUUUCCAUUAAUCAAGAACGAAAGUUAGGGGAUCGAAGACGAUCAGAUACCGUCGUAGUCCUAACCA
RNAcentral lists this ribosomal RNA (482 nucleotides) under Babesia venatorum (nom. ined.). RNAcentral's name for it is "SSU rRNA". It matches the Rfam family "Eukaryotic small subunit ribosomal RNA", at positions 500 to 1032 of the family's 1831-position model. The record is from RNAcentral. Lineage: Eukaryota; Apicomplexa; Aconoidasida; Piroplasmida; Babesiidae.